AUGCCAUCGCCGAGAUGGGCAUCUGUGCCCAGCGGGUUCCACCUGUUAGAGAUCGUCGGCUACUCCCGCGCCAAAGACAUGCCCACUGGCGCGGCCCUGGAGUCUAGACCGUUCAUGGUUGGAGGCUAUAGAUGGUGUAUCCAGAUCUAUCCGAACGGUAGAUUCCCGGAGGAUGCCGAUUGCAUAGCUGUUUCUUUCGCUCUCAUCCAGGAUGUUGAGCACCCUGUGAAAGUGCACGCUGGGUUCAGUUUCAUCGACGAGGUUGAAAAGCAAGAUCCUAGGCAUGUUCGUACAAUUCAGAUAACUCAUGUGCCUGGCAAUUGCUGCAUGGGUUUCCCCAGACACAUCACAAGGGAAGCCUUCGAAAAGUCCGAGCAUCUCAAAAACGACUGUUUCACCAUCCGGUGUGAUCUCAUCAUCGUUCAGGAAGGGCUACAGGGCGUCAACGCUAGAGCAAACGCCGACUGA
This 468-nucleotide ribosomal RNA is filed under the name Triticum aestivum (bread wheat). Its description in RNAcentral is "partial small subunit ribosomal RNA". Lineage: Eukaryota; Viridiplantae; Streptophyta; Magnoliopsida; Poales; Poaceae. The record is from RNAcentral.